UACGUAGGGGGCGAGCGUUGUCCGAAGUUACUGGGCGUAAAGCGCGCGUAGGCGGGUUGGCAAGUCUGCUGUGAAAGCCCGGGGCUUAACUCCGGAGGGUCGGUGGAUACUGCCAGUCUUGAAGGUGCUAGGGAGAGAUGGAAUUACCGGUGUAGCGGUGAAAUGCGUAGAUAUCGGUAGGAACACCAGUGGCGAAGGCGGUCUCUUGGGGCAGUCUUGACGCUGAGGAGCGAAAGCGUGGGGAGCGAACAGG
RNAcentral lists this ribosomal RNA (253 nucleotides) under uncultured bacterium. RNAcentral describes it as "partial 16S ribosomal RNA". It matches the Rfam family "Bacterial small subunit ribosomal RNA", at positions 524 to 776 of the family's 1533-position model. The record is from RNAcentral.